This 2739-nucleotide long non-coding RNA is filed under the name Vigna radiata. RNAcentral's name for it is "long non-coding RNA (VRAD_LNC017138)". Lineage: Eukaryota; Viridiplantae; Streptophyta; Magnoliopsida; Fabales; Fabaceae. The record is from RNAcentral.
UACGCGAGCGGUCGCACGUGUGCUUAAACUUUUUCAAAAUAUUUUUAUUUGAUUUUGAUUUAUUAUGAAAGAGAAGGAAAAGAUUUUCAGCACAAGGCCUACGCGAGCGGUCGCACGUGUGCUUAAACCUUUUCAAAAUAUUUUUUAUUUGAUUUUGAAAUUUUGUAAAAGAAAAAGAAAAGAUUUUCAGCACAAGGCCUACGCGAGCGGUCGCACUCCAACUAAAGAUAUUAAGCAUAACAAACAUUUUGUUCUUUAAUAAAAUAAAAGUUAUUUUUGUUUUUUUUUUUAUUUUCAUUAUAAUUUUCAAUUUUAUUACAUGUGCUUAAACCUUUUUGAAAUAUUUUUUGGAUUUUAUUAUUUUUUAAAAGAAAAGGAAAAGAUUUUCAGCACAAGGCCUACGCGAGCGGUCGCACGUGUGCUUAAACCUUUUCAAAAUAUUUUUAUUUGAUUUUUAAAUUUUGUAAAAGAAAAGGAAAANUUUCAAAAUAUUUUUAUUUGAUUUUUAAAUUUUGUAAAAGAAAAGGAAAAGAUUUUUCGCACAAGGCCUACGCGAGCGGUCACACGUGUGCUUAAACCUUUUCAAAAUAUUUUUAUUUGAUUUUUAUAAAAAAGAAGGAAAAGAUCUUCAGCACAAGGUCUACGCGAGCGGUCGCACGUGUGCUUAAACCUUUCCAAAAUAUUUUUAUUUGAUUUUUUAAUUUUUUAUUAACAAAUGAGUAUAACAAACAAACAAUAAAUGUCAAACAAAAAGUAAUAAUAAAAGCAAAGACAAUAAAAAAAAAAAAAAGUCCAACAAGCCCAAUAAGAGUGAGGUGCAGAAAUUAAAAAACAGGGGUGCACAGCAAGUUUGAGACUGCCAGGGGUAUAAUUAUUAAAUUGGUGGUGCAGCGCGAAAUAACCUGUCCAGGCCCAAAGACAGGGGUGCAGCUGUAAAGUUGGGGGGUGCCACUGGAUAUUCGCUGGUCAGGCUUAAGGCCUCUUUGUUUGCAGAAAGAAGUGGAGGUGCGAACAGAGUUGUGUGUGGUGACANGAGGAGAGGGCACGCCCAAUAGCCAGGCCCAAAGCCCUUUUGUAUGCAGAUAGGGAAUGGGGUGUGAAUAGGAUUGCAGGUGAUGGCAAAGAGAACGAGGUCCAAUAGCCAGACCCAAAUCUUCUUAACCCUAACAGAAAUUAGGGGUUUCCUAAUUUUCAUUCCAUUUCAUCACUUAGACACCCAAUGCUCCAGAGAUCUAGGGCUUCUUUCCCUCUGAACGAAAGAAAGCCAACGACCUAACCUCUACUGCUCACGGCCAAGAGUUAGCUUCCGGCCACCACGAACUAUGGUCCACAGCGUCGCCGACCACGACCCUCGUCACCGACCACGACCCUCGUCGCAUGAGUCCAAGUCGAGGUCGUCGUCCUCCGUCGAGCUGGCCGCCACGGACUCCGCCAGACGCCGCGCCAAUCUCUCUUUCUCCCCUUUCUACGAGAACAGCCACUCACCGAGCUAAUGACGUCUCACCGGAAACAAACCCAGGGGAACAAUUUCCCUCGUCAAACUCCGAUACGGUGUGGUUCGAAAGCGAGAGUCUCCCUUUCCUCUCCCUCUCUUAUUUGAAUUCCAAAUCAACGCCGCCAGCAAAACAAGACAAUGUCGUCAACUCUCGCCCUGUUUCUGUGCUUUGAUUGGGUUUGGGUUUGUGUGCGAGGGGUUUUGGGCUGGAAUAUUGGUUUGUUCUCUUCUGUAUUUUCAAUGCAGGGAAGCUCGGAACAGGGGGUGUAAUGAGGAGGAUGAUAAUGGGGAUCUGGUGGUGGAAGGGUGCUGGUAGAAUUUGAGUUUGUAGGUUGAAGAUGAGGGUCCUGAUGUGUGAAUAGAGAUGGGGAAUAUGGUGGAGAUGGAGGUUAUGAAGUGAGAUUCUGUUUCUGUUUUUAUUUUGUAGAAACGAUGAUAGGUAGUAGGGAUUUGGGGGAAGAAUUGGUGUAGGAGGUGGAGGCGUGAUGGAGGAAUCGGUGGGAGAAUCCCAUUUUACUAUGCCGGAGAAAACGAUUUUGGAGAGGGUGCUUCUGCUGAGUGAGUAGUGAUUUUCCUUGUGAGAAUUUUGUUUUGUCCUUAAAUCCGUAAGGAUAGGCCAUCAAGCUUGGUGUUGGAAUACGAAUUUUCGAAGACAAGGAAUUGGGAGAGGGUGGGAAAAUGUGGUCUGUGAAUGAAUGGUGGCGUGGUUCCUUUUUGGUUGGUGGCAGGCAACCUCUUUAUUUGUACGUGUAAAAGGGAUUUUUAGGAGGUGAUUAAUCUCUUCUCCGGUGAGCCAGUAAGAGAAAAAGAAAGAUGUAUUAGAAGAAUCUGGAAUUUCCGGCACGAAUGAAGCUAGGUGAGGAUGGCCUCGAAUUGCCAGCGAAAAAAGAAAUGUUUGGGGUGGUUACGAGUGUCUAUUCCCAGCCAGUCAGAAUCCAUGGAUAAAAAAUCAUCAAAAGCCCCCCGUACCUCCUAGGUCAUUAGCUCCCAAAUACCUUUUUUAACCGUUUUGCCCCUUCCAAAACGUGUCUGAUAACAAAUUUUUUUUCCUUUUUUUCUUUAUCAUUCACGUUUUCCUUUUCUUUUCCUUUUUGUAUUAUUAUUUUUUUUCGUUUCCUCAUUUUUCUAUUUUUCUUUCCUUUUUUUUUUCUUUUCUUGUUUCGAUUUUCCUUUUUCGCUUUUUUUUUUGUUUUCCUUUUCUUUUCUUUUGGUUCUUUUUUCAUUUUGCUUUUCUUUUUUUUUUU